AUUGACGUGAGUGGCGGACGGGUGAGUAACACGUGGGUAACCUGCCCUUAAGCGGGGGAUAACAUUUGGAAACAGAUGCUAAUACCGCAUAAAAGUUGAGAUCACAUGGUCUUAAUUUGAAAGACGGCCUUUGGCUGUCACUUAAGGAUGGACCCGCGGCGUAUUAGCUAGUUGGUGAGAUAAUAGCCCACCAAGGCGAUGAUACGUAGCCGACCUGAGAGGGUAAUCGGCCACAUUGGGACUGAGACACGGCCCAAACUCCUACGGGAGGCAGCAGUAGGGAAUCUUCCACAAUGGACGAAAGUCUGAUGGAGCAACGCCGCGUGAGUGAAGAAGGUUUUCGGAUCGUAAAACUCUGUUGUUGGAGAAGAACAGGGACUAGAGUAACUGUUAGUCCUUUGACGGUAUCCAACCAGAAAGCCACGGCUAACUACGUGCCAGCAGCCGCGGUAAUACGUAGGUGGCAAGCGUUGUCCGGAUUUAUUGGGCGUAAAGCGAGCGCAGGCGGUUUCUUAAGUCUGAUGUGAAAGCCUUCGGCUUAACCGAAGAAGUGCAUCAGAUACUGGGAAACUUGAGUGCAGAAGAGGAAAGUGGAACUCCAUGUGUAGCGGUGAAAUGCGUAGAUAUAUGGAAGAACACCAGUGGCGAAGGCGGCUUUCUGGUCUGUAACUGACGCUGAGGCUCGAAAGUAUGGGGAGCGAACAGGAUUAGAUACCCUGGUAGUCCAUACCGUAAACGAUGAAUGCUAAGUGUUGGAGGGUUUCCGCCCUUCAGUGCUGCAGCUAACGCAUUAAGCAUUCCGCCUGGGGAGUACGACCGCAAGGUUGAAACUCAAAGGAAUUGACGGGGGCCCGCACAAGCGGUGGAGCAUGUGGUUUAAUUCGAAGCUACGCGAAGAACCUUACCAGGUCUUGACAUCUAGCGCCAAUCCUAGAGAUAGGACGUUCCCUUCGGGGACGCUAAGACAGGUGGUGCAUGGUUGUCGUCAGCUCGUGUCGCGAGAUGUUGGGUUAAGUCCCGCAACGAGCGCAACCCUUAUGAUUAGUUGCCAGCAUUAAAGGGGGCACUCUAAUCAGACUGCCGGUGACAAAC
This 1092-nucleotide ribosomal RNA is filed under the name uncultured bacterium. Its description in RNAcentral is "bacterial SSU rRNA". It matches the Rfam family "Bacterial small subunit ribosomal RNA", at positions 85 to 1163 of the family's 1533-position model. The record is from RNAcentral.